AUUGAACGCUGGCGGCAGGCUUAACACAUGCAAGUCGAACGAGUGGCGGACGGGUGGGUAAUGCUUGGGAAUAUAGCUUAUGGAGGGGGCAAACAACGGGAAACUGUAGCUACUACCGCGUACCCUAGGAUGAGCCCAAGUGGGAUUAGGUAGUUGGUGAGGUAAAGGCGCACCAAGCCGCCGAUCUCUAGCUGGUCUGAGAGGAUGCCAAGCCACACUGGGACUGAGACACGGCCCAGACUCCUACGGGAGGCAGCAGUGGGUAAGAUUGCGCAAUGGGGGCAACCUGACGCAGCCAUGCCGCGUGAAUGAAGAAGGCCUUCGGGUUGUAAAGUUCUUUCGGUAGCGAGGCGUUAACUACAGAAGAAGCACCGGCUAACUCCGUGCCAGCAGCCGCGGUAAUAC
This 405-nucleotide ribosomal RNA is filed under the name uncultured bacterium. RNAcentral describes it as "partial 16S ribosomal RNA". It matches the Rfam family "Bacterial small subunit ribosomal RNA", at positions 30 to 526 of the family's 1533-position model. The record is from RNAcentral.